GUAAGCUGGGAAUUUCAUGCAUACAGACAAGUGACUUGUCCGCUGAAAUGGAUUUCGUGGUCGUCUGUCGAUGACAAAAUAAUACCGCUAUAUUGUCUAACCAAUCAAAUCACAUAUCGAUGAGACUGACGCGAGAAGGCACGAACCUAAGCGUUACAAUGAAAGCUAAUUGGAUGGUGAGGUCACAUGGUUUUAUGUAUUGCUGCUUCUAAGUUUUAGUUGAUUACAUUUGGGAUAGGCCUGAAGAGCCUACAGCAAGGCCCAUACAAGGAAAAGAAGGGAGAAAAUAAAAGGGAUGAAAGAAGCAAAUAAAGCUUGUAGCUUGAAAGAAUGAAAGAAGCAAGGCUACAAGAUUCUGGGGCGAAAAAGGGAGCCAAGCAUUCCAAAGUUGGCAAGUUACAAGAUUUGAAGUAGUUGUGAUAAAAAAUCCUCAACAUUGUGCUGAUAAACUCGAAUAAAAACAAUUCAAUGAUCAAUUCAAAAUAGAAAUAUUAUACAGUUUUUAUUUACUGAUGAAGCGACCCGGAACUUAACUCUGUUGGAAUAUAUGAGAUAAUGAAAACGUUGCAUUUACAAUAUAUGUUGUAAAAGAAAUGAGAUAUUUGAUAGAUCCUGAUUCAAUGAAUAUCU
This is a long non-coding RNA of Rhopilema esculentum, 630 nucleotides long. RefSeq lists it as uncharacterized. The record is from RefSeq and is a predicted model, not a curated record. Lineage: Eukaryota; Metazoa; Cnidaria; Scyphozoa; Rhizostomeae; Rhizostomatidae.